GAGGUAGCGAGUGUGUGUCCGCUUCUGUCAGGCCCAUGGCCGCGGCCCAGGUCUGUGGCUGGGGCUCCCUCCAGCACUCGGUUCCUAGGCGUCCACAGGAGCUUGGUUGAGCGUGGCUCACACACCGCGCAGUUCACCUGUCUCAGGUGUUGCUCCCAGGGCUUGGGCACAGGCGCAGCCCCAGGCGGCUGCCUCUCACCUCGGGAGCAGGGGCCUCAGCCCGACGAGGCGCCCAGGCCCUGGAGCCCCGAGGGCCGCCGAUCCACACGCUCUCCACAGAGGAAGCUCAUCAAACAGUCCCGCAACACCUCACCCUGCUUUCGGGGCCACUAACCCAGCUCACACCGUGGAAUCGUCCCCCGUAAGGCUCUUAGGGAUGAGAGGAAGGAGGCCAGGCAGCGCCAUCGGCUGUGCUCAUCUGUCAGGAAGCAAGAGUCUCCUGGCGGGGGGAUGUCCACAAGAUAAGGUUUGAAAUCUUAAAGGAAAACACAGCAAGAAGCGUGAGGAAGACAAAGAGACUCCAGAAAGCAAACCCACAAAAGGUUCCAGUAAUGGGAACUGGAGCCCCUGCUUCAGGGGAAGGCUCCCAGCCUUCUCUCAGACCAGGAGCUCGGGGGGACAUGACGAUCCCCAAACUUCCUGUCUUAACAAAGCCCACUGCCGCUCCCUGUGUCACUACUCCCUGCAUGGCUGGGAGCCUUCCCCUGAAGCAGAGGAAGACACCUGGCCAUGUUAAGGAGGAGACACCGUGUUGGCAGCAGUGUGGCCAGGGUCGCGGUCCAUAAGGCUCCGAGAGCUUAUGAGGGGGACCAGGCCGCCGGCUGGAGAAACAGCACCUGUUCUCAACCACUUUGCUGAGCUGCUGGAUGGUGUCAGGACGUGCUGGCCUGUGUCAGCUCCGGGAGACGUCACUGUCCUGAUGUGUCCCCUCUGAACGACUGGGACAUCCUCAAGCCCAUCACAUACGGAAGCUUCCUCAGAGCUAAGGUCACCCCUAGGGCAUGGAGCAGGGCUCGAGGUGUCACACUCCAAAGAUGAAGGAAGCCCAGUUACUCAGUGGAGCCAUGUCCUUCCAGAGCAAACUCACACGCUGACACAGGAUGCUCGGGGACGGAGUGCCAGUGCAGCUGGCCAGGCCUGGUGGCUCUUGGCUGGCAUGAAGAUCCAGCCCCAGAUGCCCUGCACCGAAAACCAAGGCAACGCAUGAGCAGUGUGAGAUGAGGCCACAGUGGUGAUGCCAAGCUCUUUCUAGUUUAUAGGACUGCAAACACUUCAUGGCUUAUCAUUGAGGAACAUUCCAGAAUUUCUUCACCAAGGUCAAUGUCACGGAGCAGCACAGCUUAGGAAACCUCAGAGUCCAUGUCUGCCACCCCAGCUCCACCCCCAUCGCCCCGUCCUCCUGCUGAGGGAGCAGCGACAGUCGGCGUCACUCACUCCACUCACUCCCUUCUUCAGACAGCGAGGUGUCCCAAGCCGAGUGGCACAGGCUGUUCUGUGUGGGUUCAAACCAUUGCUUUGCACUCAAGCCAACCCUGAACACCGUCCCAUGUGAUUGUAUCCCCAGCAUGUGGCAGUCAGUGGGAGACCCAGGCCCUGCCUCUAGAGUUUCAGUCAGUGGGGUCUGGGUCCCUCAGCAGUUCCUGGAACCUUCCAGAAUGGGCAACUUAACCAUCUUCCCCUGUGUCAGGCAGCACCGCCACAGGGCCACUAUGGAACAUGUCUUCUG
Long non-coding RNA from Canis lupus familiaris (dog), 1726 nucleotides. RefSeq lists it as uncharacterized. The transcript is spliced from 5 exons. The record is from RefSeq and is a predicted model, not a curated record. Lineage: Eukaryota; Metazoa; Chordata; Mammalia; Carnivora; Canidae.